This 253-nucleotide ribosomal RNA is filed under the name uncultured bacterium. RNAcentral describes it as "partial 16S ribosomal RNA". It matches the Rfam family "Bacterial small subunit ribosomal RNA", at positions 524 to 776 of the family's 1533-position model. The record is from RNAcentral.
UACAGAGGUGCCAAGCGUUGUUCGGAUUUACUGGGCGUAAAGGGCGCGUAGGCGGCGCGGUAAGUCACUUGUGAAAUCUCUGAGCUUAACUCAGAACGGCCAAGUGAUACUGCAGUGCUAGAGUGUGGAAGGGGCAAUCGGAAUUCUUGGUGUAGCGGUGAAAUGCGUAGAUAUCAAGAGGAACACCUGAGGUGAAGACGGGUUGCUGGGCCAACACUGACGCUGAGGCGCGAAAGCCAGGGGAGCAAACGGG